This 601-nucleotide ribosomal RNA is filed under the name uncultured soil bacterium. RNAcentral describes it as "bacterial SSU rRNA". It matches the Rfam family "Bacterial small subunit ribosomal RNA", at positions 51 to 666 of the family's 1533-position model. The record is from RNAcentral.
ACACAUGCAAGUCGAACGGUGAAGCCCAGCUUGCUGGGUGGAUCAGUGGCGAACGGGUGAGUAACACGUGAGCAACCUGCCCUCCACUUCGGGAUAAGCCUUGGAAACGGGGUCUAAUACCGGAUAUGAGCACUCAUCGCAUGGUGGGUGUUGGAAAGUUUUUCGGUGGGGGAUGGGCUCGCGGCCUAUCAGCUUGUUGGUGGGGUGAUGGCCUACCAAGGCGUCGACGGGUAGCCGGCCUGAGAGGGCGACCGGCCACACUGGGACUGAGACACGGCCCAGACUCCUACGGGAGGCAGCAGUGGGGAAUAUUGCACAAUGGGCGAAAGCCUGAUGCAGCGACGCCGCGUGAGGGAUGACGGCCUUCGGGUUGUAAACCUCUUUCAGCAGGGAAGAAGCGCAAGUGACGGUACCUGCAGAAGAAGCGCCGGCUAACUACGUGCCAGCAGCCGCGGUAAUACGUAGGGCGCAAGCGUUGUCCGGAAUUAUUGGGCGUAAAGAGCUCGUAGGCGGUCUGUCGCGUCUGGUGUGAAAUCCCGAGGCUCAACCUCGGGCUUGCAUCGGGUACGGGCAGACUAGAGUGCGGUAGGGGAGACUGGAA